This 73-nucleotide transfer RNA is filed under the name Micromonosporaceae bacterium. Its description in RNAcentral is "tRNA-Arg". It matches the Rfam family "tRNA". From Rfam's summary of the family: Transfer RNA (tRNA) molecules are approximately 80 nucleotides in length. Their secondary structure includes four short double-helical elements and three loops (D, anti-codon, and T loops). The record is from RNAcentral. Lineage: Bacteria; Bacillati; Actinomycetota; Actinomycetes; Micromonosporales; Micromonosporaceae.
GCCUCUGUAGCUCAAUGGAUUGAGCACCCGACUACGGAUCGGGAGGUUGCGCGUUCGAGUCGCGCCUGGGGCA